Molecule: long non-coding RNA, 766 nt
Filed under: Manduca sexta (tobacco hornworm)
Lineage: Eukaryota; Metazoa; Arthropoda; Insecta; Lepidoptera; Sphingidae
Description: uncharacterized LOC115444899
Source: RNAcentral
GUCAACCGAACUUUGAUGUCAACUGAAAUUUUGUAUCCAUCGGUAUUGCGUAUGACAUUGUAGCUAUAACCCGCACGAGUGCCUAUCGGCGGACCACUUGACACCUCUACUUUUUUAUCGACAUUAUGCGACAAAGUUAUGCACACCUAUGAUACGUAAAAACUAAUUGGAUGAAUUGGCCAUCUUCGUUUGGCGGGUUAACUACGCGUUAAAAACUAGAUAAUAACUUUGUGGACUGGGAACCAUAAUAUUAUUAUUAACUUACAAUUGUGUAGUUUGUUAUAAAUACGAUAAGUGUUUGUGCUCGUGUGGUUAAAUUCUUUUUAAGUUACGAUUUAUUUACACUCGAGAUGUUUGAUGGAAGAAAAUACUCCCAAGGACAGACUUGCUACUUGUUUCUAGAAUUUGUGGAGGCCCAAAGCUUUGGAUCGCUUUUCAAUGGGCCACUAAUCUAGUCAAUAUACUAGACAAACUUGGGAAUCAAUCGCUGUUAAGUUUAAUGGAGUAGAAGAUAACGUCUUAAGAACCUUAGGCCAAUGAAAGUGUCGAGUUGAAGGAGAAGCCUUGAUUUGAGCCUGUCUCGAUAUUGAGGAGUAAAUGGCUGCCUUGAAAAGGAUUGCUGUGGACCGAUGGUCAUGGAAAGAGCUAGUGCACUAAUAAUAUAAUUGAUAACAACAAUACACCUCAAAAAAAAUUAAUAGAUUAUAGAUAGUGGUUCUAUAUGUUAGCUUAGUUGUAUAUAGCAUUAUAAUUUUGCUCUAAUGUG